RNAcentral lists this ribosomal RNA (253 nucleotides) under uncultured bacterium. RNAcentral describes it as "partial 16S ribosomal RNA". It matches the Rfam family "Bacterial small subunit ribosomal RNA", at positions 524 to 776 of the family's 1533-position model. The record is from RNAcentral.
UACAGAGGUCCCAAGCGUUGUUCGGAUUCACUGGGCGUAAAGCGUGCGUAGGCGGUCCGUGAAGUCUGAUGUGAAAGCCCCGGGCUCAACCUGGGAACUGCAUUGGAAACUAACGGGCUCGAGUGUGGCAGAGGGGGGUGGAAUUCCACGUGUAGCAGUGAAAUGCGUAGAGAUGUGGAGGAACACCGAUGGCGAAGGCAGCCGCCUGGGCUAACACUGACGCUCAGGCACGAAAGCGUGGGGAGCAAACAGG